Molecule: long non-coding RNA, 1843 nt
Filed under: Homo sapiens (human)
Lineage: Eukaryota; Metazoa; Chordata; Mammalia; Primates; Hominidae
Description: LHRI_LNC525.1
Source: RNAcentral
CUCUAUCACCCAGGCUUGAGUGCAGUGGCUUGAUCUCACCCCAUUGCAACCUCUGCCUCCUGGGUUCAAGUGAUUCUUGUGCCUCAGUCUCCUGAGUAGCUGGAAUUACAGGCAUGCACCACCACACCCAGCUAAUUUUUGUACUUUAGAGACGGGGUUUCAACAUAUUGGCCAGGCUUGUCUCGAACUCCUGACCUUAAGGGAUCUGCCCAACUCUGCCUCCCAAAGUGCAGGGAUUACAAGCGUGAGCCACCGUGCCCAGCCAGUUCCACCUGAUUUUUAAAAUUGCGUUGGCCAGCAUUGGACACACAGUAAAUGUUUAAUAAAUACUUUCCACGUUGAAUCAAAGAAGUUUCCUAUCUUAGCUAUUUCCUUGAAACUUUCCUGAAGUUUGAAACCUAACAGAUCAUCAGUGACGUCCUCAUCACAGUUUCACCUCUGCCUAAUAAAGCACAAAUUACUCUUAAGCAGUGAGGCGCUGUGCAGUUGAAGCCUUUUAUAACUCCAUUUGUCUGCAGUCACCUAAAUGUCAGUGGACAGAUGUGUUUGUCAUAGUGUGUGAUAAGUGCAAAUAACCCUUGUUAGUAGUGUCAUUAGAGGUGAAAUAGAUGCAUAGGAACUAAGAGGUCAUAAGCUGUCAGGUUUUACUCUAAGGAAAUAUAGAAUGUCAUUUGCACCUGAAAAUGUGCAGAAGUAAAUGGACAAUUCUUCACCCCAAUCUGUUUUUCAAAGCUUUGCAUGUUUACAUUUGUUCAUCCACUACCUUAGUCACAGCAUAGUGAAAUAAACCAUAAAUUAAAAAUAGCUCAGCGUACCACUGAAGAAUCAAUAGAUCUGAAUAUAGUAGCGUAGAAAAAGCUUCGGUUUACUGGAUGUACCUUCAAGGUGGACCAUACCCUUUAGGUAGAGGAUUAGUGGAGAACAGAAAUCUCUGCCUCUCUAUGGCUAGAAGUGGAUCUAUGUCAUUGACCUACCUACAGUGGCACUUUUCCUUACUUGAAAGUUGGGUAUACAGUGACCUCACCUACUCAUAGAACCUGCAAAAGUGGGAAUUAAUAGAAAAAGGCUUUUGAGUAGCCAAAAAGGAUUUGAUAAAGUUAAUAUUCUAAGUUAGCCUGUUCUCUUACCACAUAGUAUGUCUCCUCAGUUCUUGUUUGCUUGAUGCAAAGUUCUGAAGCUUAGUGACAAGGGACUUACCUUUGUCCCUGUUCCUACAUCCUUCUAGGCUCUAACUGGUUUGAUGAAGCGUGAGUAGCUCAGAGAUAUACAUGCCAAGAACGGCCUGGAACAGUUUUAUUGCCCCUCCCCUGCCCAACUCAUUGAAGGAAACAGGAGGGAGUGAACCCGUCUCUUCUGCUGAAUCCAUUGCAGUCCACUUUUUUGUGUUCUAAUGAGUAUAUUAAAAUUGCAGUCUGAAGUCAUUUCAGAGCUCCUAUCCUUUACUACAAGCUGACUUAGGUGGGACUGCUCCAGCAACUUGGGGCUAAGAGGCACAGGGUCUGACUUCUCUCCCUGCUUCCCUACUCCUGCUCCAUUAAGGGUGAGAGGUUGGGGAGUUUGCUGUCCUCUCUGUGAUGACUUGUUGCUGCCAAUCUGAUUCCUAAUGCUGUAGAUUUAUUAAGGCUAGAUGGUGGAAGAUUGGGCCCUGAUGACAACGGAGCCAUCCUGGGUUCCUCUGACCGUGAUGAACCUCCUGGGAGAGGCAGCCACAGCUGAAGCACACACAGCUCCCUUCUGCUGUGGCAGCCCCACGAGCCUGCAAACCCCCAUCUCAUCACAGCCUCGGUUCUCAGCUCUGAGGCUGGCCAGACCUCCAACUGGUGGGUAAAACGCAGACAUUUCC